AUGAGUUGGAACGUUCAUGGUUUGAACUCGCCGGCAAAGCGAGAAGCAGUCCACGAGGUUGUUACCGCGCACCGCGCCGCCAUCAUGUGUUUGCAGGAGACCAAGAUCGAUGUGUGGACGCCGGCCCUUGUGCGCGACAUCGGCGGCCAAUCCUUGCGGGGCUGUGCGGUACUGCCAGCCAUGGGCACUCGAGGCGGCAUA
Molecule: ribosomal RNA, 201 nt
Filed under: Triticum aestivum (bread wheat)
Lineage: Eukaryota; Viridiplantae; Streptophyta; Magnoliopsida; Poales; Poaceae
Description: partial small subunit ribosomal RNA
Source: RNAcentral